This is a long non-coding RNA of Panicum virgatum (switchgrass), 1089 nucleotides long. RefSeq lists it as uncharacterized. The transcript is spliced from 3 exons. The record is from RefSeq and is a predicted model, not a curated record. Lineage: Eukaryota; Viridiplantae; Streptophyta; Magnoliopsida; Poales; Poaceae.
UCACGAGCUCGGCGCUAGGGUUCCAUGGCCGGCGACUCGAAGCUCGCCGCCGAGAAGGGAUCCGUGGCGGCAAAUCGGCCCCGACGGUGCAUCUCGCACCCGACGCAAGGCCCAUGGGAGGAGGGCGGGCAGCGGCUCGCCACCGCCGAGGAGUCGGCCUACGGACGGUCCCCCGCUCGGCCGCCCAGUCAUUGGCGGCGGCAACCGCAGCCAGGAGGGCACCGCCGGACUGUUGCAAGCCGACGCGAAAGGCCGGGCGGUUGAGAUGGCUAGCCCGGCCCGGUAGCGUCGCGCUCCCAGCAGGUCCUGAGUUCGAAUCUCAUCAGAAGCGAAUUUCAGGCUGCUGGGAGAAAAAAAACCCCUCGCUGUGCUCGCCGCAAGGCUUGGGCAUCUCGGGCAUGGGCCAGGGUUCGGGGGGUUUCUCUACCCGGUUAGCCGGUUAUGCUUCCUCUUAAUGAAAAAACGGUGGGGUCCGUUUCACACCCCCGGGUAGAGUUUUUUUGUUUUGUUUUGCAGCCUACAAAAAAUGUCGAUGAUUAGAUGAAAUGUGGCAUUAUUAAGAUUGCUGGACUUGUAAGAAAUAAGUUGAUAAAUUUAGUAUGGGCAACGACAAGGCAUGAUGUGUAUCUUAUGUCAUACUACUCUGUGCUUCAUUGGUCAGCAUUGACUCGUGAGAAGCAAGAAAUCAUUGAUCUUUAAGGGCAUGUCGCACCAUGUGAGCUACAGGGUUUCUCUUCCAAACAUUUAUUUUCGAGUCCUCUCUAUUUGAUGUAUGGUAAUACCAUUCUUAUCUUGUUUGUUUGUUGACUUCAGAAGCACCAUGGAAAUUUCUAUGUGGGAUUUUAUCAUUACUCAAGUAAGUACUUUGGCAGUGAAAAACAACUUGCUUGUUACUGGUGGAUUUCAUGGCGAAAUAAUAUGCAGAGUCUGCAGAUUUCAUCCACAUCUUUGAUGUUGAUAGUGGGUACAGCAGUAAGCAGGAACUGGAUUUCUUUGGUGAGAUCGCAGGCCUAUCAUUCAGUCCUGACACUGAAGCUCUCUUUGUCGGAGUGCAUGAUUGUGCAUACAGCAGCCUCCUCCCGUUCAGCC